This 216-nucleotide long non-coding RNA is filed under the name Gossypium barbadense (sea-island cotton). RNAcentral's name for it is "long non-coding RNA (GBAR_LNC007998)". The record is from RNAcentral. Lineage: Eukaryota; Viridiplantae; Streptophyta; Magnoliopsida; Malvales; Malvaceae.
UACACUCCACCCGUACCAGCCCUACACUCCAUGUGGGGAAUAGCUCAACCCACCCAGCCCUACACUCCACAGUUGCAGCAUUGCUGCUCAGUUAUCAGAUAUUGUGACAGAGUCACCAGAUACAGAUAUUGUGGCAGAGCCACUAGAACAGAUAUUUGUGGCAUAGCCACCAGAAACAGAUAAUGUGGCAAAGCCACUUAACAGAAUACGUGGCAC